Molecule: ribosomal RNA, 1244 nt
Filed under: metagenome
Description: bacterial LSU rRNA
Rfam family: Bacterial large subunit ribosomal RNA
Source: RNAcentral
UGAAUACGAGACGCUACGGCGUCGAAGCAGUCUAUGUCAUACUUCCAAGAAAAGCUCGCAAUGUCAUAAACAAAUAAUGCCUGUACCAUAACCGACACAGGUGGGUAGGUAGAGUAUACUAAGGGGCGCGAGAUAACUCUCUCUAAGGAACUCGGCAAAAUGACUCCGUAACUUCGGGAGAAGGAGUGCCUUAUUUAUAAGGUUGCAAUAACAAGAUCCAAGCAACUGUUUAUCAAAAACACAGGUCUCCGCUAAGUCGUAAGACGAUGUAUGGGGGCUGACGCCUGCCCAGUGCCAGAAGGUUAAAGAAGUUGGUUAGCAUUCGCGAAGCUGAUAACUGAAGCCCUGGUGAACGGCGGCCGUAACAAUAACGGUCCUAAGGUAGCGAAAUUCCUUGUCGGGUAAGUUCCGACCCGCACGAAAGGCGUAAUGAUUUGGAUACUGUCUCGGAGAGGGGCUCGGUGAAAUAGACUUGUCUGUGAAGAUGCGGACUACCUGCACCUGGACAGAAAGACCCUAUGAAGCUUUACUGUAACUUGAAAUUGAAAUUGGACUUUAUUUGCGCAGCAUAGGUGGGAGGCGUUGAGAGUAUUCUUGCGGGAAUAUUGGAGCCAUCAGUGAGAUACCACUCUUGUAAUGUUAGAUUUCUAACUUUGGAUCAUUAUCUGGUCAAAGAACAGUUUCAGGCGGGCAGUUUGACUGGGGCGGUCGCCUCCCAAAUGGUAACGGAGGCGUACAAAGGUUUCCUCUGAACGGGUAGAAAUCGUAUCUAGAGUGUAAAGGCAUAAGGAAGCUUGACUGUGAGACCUACAAGUCGAGCAGGGACGAAAGUCGGUCUUAGUGAUCUGACGGUGCUGAGUGGAAAGGCCGUCACUCAACGGGUAAAAGUUACUCUAGGAUAACAGGCUGAUCUCCCCCAAGAGUUCACAUCGACGGGGAGGUUUGGCACCUCGAUGUCGGCUCAUCGCAUCCUGGGGCGGUAGUACGUCCCAAGGGUUGGGCUGUUCGCCCAUGAAAGCGGUACGCGAGCUGGGUUCAGAACGUCGUGAGACAGUUCGGUCCAUAUCCGGUGUAGGCGUUAGAAUAUUUAGAGGAGCCUUCUUUAGUACGAGAGGACCGAGAAGGACAUACCUCUGGUGUACCAGUUAUCGUGCCAACGGUAAACGCUGGGUAGCUAUGUAUGGAGAGGAUAACCGCUGAAAGCAUCUAAGUGGGAAGCCCACCUCAAGAUAAGUAUUCUCAUG